This 405-nucleotide ribosomal RNA is filed under the name uncultured bacterium. RNAcentral's name for it is "partial 16S ribosomal RNA". It matches the Rfam family "Bacterial small subunit ribosomal RNA", at positions 28 to 526 of the family's 1533-position model. The record is from RNAcentral.
GAUGAACGCUGGCGGCGUGCCUAAUACAUGCAAGUCGAGCGAAGCGGGGACGGGUGCGUAACACGUGGAUAACCUCCUAUACGACUGGGAUAAAUUCGGGAAACCCGAGCUAAACCUGCUACUUAUAUAUGGAUCCUCGCUGCAUUCGCUAGUUGGUAAGGUAACGGCUUACCAAGGCAACGAUGCAUAGCCGACCUGAGAGGGUGAUCGGCCACACUGGAACUGAGACACGGUCCAGACUCCUACGGGAGGCAGCAGUAGGGAAUCUUCCGCAAUGGGCGAAAGCCUGACGGAGCAACGCCGCGUGAGUGAUGAAGGUCUUCGGAUCGUAAAACUCUGUUAUUAGGGAAGCGGUACCUAAUCAGAAAGCCACGGCUAACUACGUGCCAGCAGCCGCGGGAAAUC